RNAcentral lists this ribosomal RNA (496 nucleotides) under uncultured bacterium. Its description in RNAcentral is "partial 16S ribosomal RNA". It matches the Rfam family "Bacterial small subunit ribosomal RNA", at positions 28 to 506 of the family's 1533-position model. The record is from RNAcentral.
GACGAACGCUGGCGGCGUGCCUAAUACAUGCAAGUUGAGCGCUGAAGGUUGGUACUUGUACCAACUGGAUGAGCAGCGAACGGGUGAGUAACGCGUGGGGAAUCUGCCUUUGAGCGGGGGACAACAUUUGGAGACGAAUGCUAAUACCGCAUAAAAACUUUAAACACAAGUUUUAAGUUUGAAAGAUGCAAUUGCAUCACUCAAAGAUGAUCCCGCGUUGUAUUAGCUAGUUGGUGAGGUAAAGGCUCACCAAGGCGAUGAUACAUAGCCGACCUGAGAGGGUGAUCGGCCACAUUGGGACUGAGACACGGCCCAAACUCCUACGGGAGGCAGCAGUAGGGAAUCUUCGGCAAUGGACGAAAGUCUGACCGAGCAACGCCGCGUGAGUGAAGAAGGUUUUCGGAUCGUAAAACUCUGUUGGUAGAGAAGAACGUUGGUGAGAGUGGAAAGCUCAUCAAGUGACGGUAACUACCCAGAAAGGGACGGCUAACUACGU